GUGGGGAAUAUUGGACAAUGGGGGAAACCCUGAUCCAGCAAUGCCGCGUGAGUGAUGAAGGCCUUCGGGUUGUAAAGCUCUUUUAUCAGGGAAGAUAAUGACGGUACCUGAUGAAUAAGCUCCGGCUAACUUCGUGCCAGCAGCCGCGGUAAUACGAAGGGAGCUAGCGUUGUUCGGAAUUACUGGGCGUAAAGGGCGCGUAGGCGGCCUUGUAAGUUAGAUGUUAAAGCCCCGGGCUUAACCUGGGAACUGCAUUUAAGACUGCAAAGCUAGAGGACGAGGGAGGAAAAUGGAAUUAUGGGUGUAGAGGUGAAAUUCGGAGAUAUUCAUAAGAACACCAGUGGCGAAGGCGACUUUCUGGCUCGUAUCUGACGCUAAGGCGCGAAAGCGUGGGGAGCAAACAGGAUUAGAAACCCCGGUAGUCC
RNAcentral lists this ribosomal RNA (425 nucleotides) under uncultured bacterium. Its description in RNAcentral is "bacterial SSU rRNA". It matches the Rfam family "Bacterial small subunit ribosomal RNA", at positions 354 to 796 of the family's 1533-position model. The record is from RNAcentral.